AACGCGAAGAACCUUACCUGGGCUUGACAUGAUCAGGAAAGACUCAGAGAUGAGUGCCCCCGCAAGGGCCUGACCACAGGUGCUGCAUGGCUGUCGUCAGCUCGUGUCGUGAGAUGUUGGGUUAAGUCCCGCAACGAGCGCAACCCUUAUCCCUAGUUGCCAUCGGGUCAAGCCGGGCACUCUAGUGAAACUGCCUCGGAUAACGAGGAGGAAGGUGGGGAUGACGUCAAGUCCUCAUGGCCUUUAUGUCCAGGGCUACACACGUGCUACAAUGGUCGGUACAAACCGUCGCAAACCCGUGAGGGGGAGCUAAUCGGAAAAAGCCGGCCUCAGUUCGGAUUGGAGUCUGCAACUCGACUCCAUGAAGCUGGAAUCGCUAGUAAUCGCGGAUCAGAACGCCGCGGUGAAUACGUUCCCGGGCCUUGUACACACCGCUGUA
Molecule: ribosomal RNA, 439 nt
Filed under: uncultured bacterium
Lineage: Bacteria
Description: bacterial SSU rRNA
Rfam family: Bacterial small subunit ribosomal RNA
Source: RNAcentral